GUGGGCGCCAUCUUAACUCAGGGCAGAACCUGUGCUCUUGAGCCUGCAAUACUAGGAGAAAAGAAGCGGCAACCAUGUUUUGUGUGUGAGGGCAAUCGGGCCGAAGCCAAGAAGAGCGCCAUAUUUGUUGAGGCCUAAAAGUGACAUCAUUCCCAUCAGCUGUUUGGGCUAUCUGGAGCCAUCUCCUUGACAACAGCCAUCCAGUCACAAAGACAGCAUUAUUACUUCCUUGGAAGAGGGCAUUCUGCAUGGCUGGAAGUGGUGCUGUGAAAAGUUUUGUAAAUAAGCUCUAUGUCCCACAAAGGGAAACCUGCACAUUCCAAAUUGAUGCUAGUAUUUCACUGAGACCUGGAGAAGGAAAAGAAAACCUCCACUGUGAUACCAUAGGUUAAAAGCAAGAUUAAGAUGACUGCCUUAAAAUUCUGCAGCUGACAAAUUUGCAUUGGAAUCUGUUAUUUCUCUGCUUCAAAGAAAAUGCUCUUUGUCAUGUGGCCUAUUAUGUAGAACCUAGACAAAUAGUUUAUUUUUUUAAUCAACCCCCCCAAAACCCCCAAAUCUCCACCCAGAUAUUUACAACUCCCAACAGUGAUGAAAUUACAAUUGUGACAUAGCAACAAAAA
Long non-coding RNA from Rattus norvegicus (Norway rat), 620 nucleotides. RefSeq lists it as uncharacterized. The record is from RefSeq and is a predicted model, not a curated record. NCBI's taxonomy places the organism in Eukaryota, Metazoa, Chordata, Mammalia, Rodentia, Muridae.